This 86-nucleotide transfer RNA is filed under the name Acidimicrobiaceae bacterium. RNAcentral's name for it is "tRNA-Leu". It matches the Rfam family "tRNA". From Rfam's summary of the family: Transfer RNA (tRNA) molecules are approximately 80 nucleotides in length. Their secondary structure includes four short double-helical elements and three loops (D, anti-codon, and T loops). RNAcentral also lists the same sequence under 2 other names. The record is from RNAcentral. Lineage: Bacteria; Bacillati; Actinomycetota; Acidimicrobiia; Acidimicrobiales; Acidimicrobiaceae.
GCGCGAGUGGCGAAAUGGCAGACGCGCUGGCUUCAGGUGCCAGUGUUCGUAAGGACGUGGGGGUUCAAGUCCCCCCUCGCGCACCA